Molecule: ribosomal RNA, 109 nt
Filed under: Pseudoduganella rivuli
Lineage: Bacteria; Pseudomonadati; Pseudomonadota; Betaproteobacteria; Burkholderiales; Oxalobacteraceae
Description: partial 16S ribosomal RNA
Rfam family: Bacterial small subunit ribosomal RNA
Source: RNAcentral
GUAGCUUAACCGCAAGGAGGGCGCUUACCACGGUAGGAUUCGUGACUGGGGUGAAGUCGUAACAAGGUAGCCGUAUCGGAAGGUGCGGCUGGAUCACCUCCUUUCUAGA